Zingiber officinale is the source of this 664-nucleotide long non-coding RNA. RefSeq lists it as uncharacterized. The transcript is spliced from 3 exons. NCBI's taxonomy places the organism in Eukaryota, Viridiplantae, Streptophyta, Magnoliopsida, Zingiberales, Zingiberaceae. The record is from RefSeq and is a predicted model, not a curated record.
UUUCCUCUCCUCCCCUCUCUGCCCCGAUGCGAUCCCGAUCUCCCCUCACUUCCUUCUCUGUUCCCUCUCUCGCGGAUCAAUCGACGCCGAGGCCAGAGGAGACUCGUCACCGGAGCUCGACGGAAAACCAGUGGAGUCACCGGAGCUCGACGAUGCCGAGGAAGACAAGCCGGAUCUGGUUGAGGGGUCCUGCUUCGGCAGAUAUUGUGGUCGAUCGCCUCUCCUCUCUGCUCGGCGGUCUCUUUUCCGACACCGGCGCCACCAGCGCCACCAGGGGAGCGGAUCGUUGGCGGCUGUGCACCUUCUUCCACUGCCGUUCACCAGAUCUUGGAGGGGAUUGGGUGUAUUCGAUGCCACUGGACCGAUUUGGCUCCAACUAGAUCGCCGGUGUGAAGGGGGCAAUUAGGGUUUCGAAGUUCUGGGCUAGGAGAAGCAUCGGAUUCCUAUGGAUUGUCCUUGUGGCCAAUCAUUGCUUUCUCCUUUGUGAUCCGAUUGAAUCCAUUGAGUGCUUGGACGUCUCCUUCUUGCUGUGAUUGAGGUAUCAGUUGAAGUGGGGAAGAAUUCCAGCAGGGCUAGCUGCGAUUCCUCUGAUCCAGCAAGGAAAAUUCCUCUCACUGUGCUCUGUGGUGUUCUUGAUCAAGCAACCCACCUUUGUUCAACAGGA